UGCAUGGCCCGUCCGGGGAGAGCCCCAGCUGUGCCCCGAGAUGAGCCGCGGGGGCGAGGGGCCGCGCUGGGUGCUGCCCAGCCUGUGCGCCUCCUUCCACGUCAGCUCCCUCGUGUGUCUCAGCGCCCUCUUCUUCUCCUUCCCGUGAGUGGUGGACCCUCCCUCGCUGGGGGUCCUUGCCUUGGGCAUCACGCAGCAGCAAGCACCCAAUUAACCCCGGGGGAGAUGGGCCCUGGAGCACUUUUGCCCCCACACAGCUUCCCUCUGCCCCAAGCUGCCCAGGUACGGCUGCCCAUGGGCACCCACAGGGCUAAUGAACCCCUGCCAGGUGGGGUGUUCCCAUUACACAGAUACGGCAACUGAGGCAAGGGACCAGCAGGAGGGUCAUGGCAGGGGCAGAGCCAAUCAAAGCUGUUCUCAGGAGUUUGGGCAGUUGUUCCCCUUCCUCCUAUUGCCACUGCGGCCACUUAGGACCAGCCAAAUUUGGUGCCACUGGCCGGUGGAAGCAGGGUCUGGGAUGGGGCUGAGCCCGGGGCCCUCCUUUCCCCUCCUCAAGACCCUGAGACGUCCAGCCAGGCUGUGACCCCGCUGCCCGCCUCGCAGGUGCGGCUGGCUGGCUGUCCACGUCUCCUUGGCCUUCCCCGUCGUGGCUGGCAUCCUCUUCCUCCCUGCCCUGGCCAACCUGUUGCUGGCCAGCUUCAUGGACCCCGGGAUCCUGCCCCGAGGUAGCGAGGGGGCUGUGACGCUGCUGGGGUCAACGGGGAGCCCAAAAGGGGAGGUCUGGAGGGCACACGACGGGCUCAAAAGGGAUGAGGGUCCUCCUGCCUGAGCUCUCUGGAGCCCUCCUCAUCUCCCCAAUUGCCGGGCCAAGGGGUCACCACCUUGCUGCCUGGACUGGGGCAGGUCUAGAGGGACCCCCACCACGGCCUCUCAGGUGGGGAGGGGUGGGGCAGGUUCACCCUGUGUUGCGUCUCCCUGAGCCAGGGGCCAAGGGCCGGGCCAGGCUGGUCAUCCAGGUGCUCCGUGACGAGGACAGACGCUUCGGUCCGCGCUGGUGCCACAAGUGCCACUGCUACUGCCCGCCGCGGAGCUUCCACUGCCCCUCCUGCAACGUCUGCGUGGAGGGCUUCGACCACCACUGCUACUGGCUGAACAACUGCGUGGGCCGCGGCAACACCCGCUGCUUCUCCCUCUUCGUGGCCUUUCUGUGCGGCUACAAUGCACUGGCGCUGGCCUCCUGCAUCGCCUACCUGGUGCUCAGCUCUGGACAGGUCCUCAGCACCGAGAAAGCCUGCGCCAUCGUGGUGACCGUCCCCGCCGCCUUCUACCUGCUGCCCCUCCUAGCCCUGAUGAGCUCCCGCGCCAAGCUGCACGCGUGGGCCAAGCGCACCCACAGGCUCAAGGUACUGGGACGGUGGCUCUGCCUGGGGCUCAGAUCACUGUGGUUCAGACCCAGAGGCGCGGGACCAGCACAUCCGGAGACUGUCCCACCCAAGCCUGCAGCACACGGCACCGGACAGGGGCUCCCUGCCUCCCCUCAUCAAGCCCAGGCAUCCCCCCAAGGCCAGGGGGGCAAGUGGGGAAGUAGCCCCAGCUGCAGUCAGACCUGGCUGGACCCAGCCAGCACCCAGGCUCAAGGUGGACCUGGGAGACGUGGGUGCUUGCUCCACUGCCUCUCAGCCCCCACCAAUGGGCAAGGGCACAGCCCAGCACGCCCUGCCACCCUCGAGCACCCAUGCCUCUGCCCCCACCGCUCUUCUGUUUGCAGGUCUACAGCCGAGGCAAGAAGACCCUGUUGGGCAGGGCUUGGGCCAGGAGCUGGGCACCCGCGCACACGGCCGGAGCUGCCCAGCCCUGGGCUUCGGUGACACAGCUCCUCCACCUGCAUGCGGCAGCCUCCUGUCCCCACCGUCCCGGACUCGUGCCAGGCCCGGAGAAGACGGGCAGAGCCCAGCUGGCCCAGGGAGGGUCCCGGCAGGGCCCUGGGUCUGGGGAGCCAGCCACCAAAGAGGUGAGGGCUGCAGCUGCUCCUGGCCUGAGCUCUGGUGCAGCCCCAUGUCUCUGCCCCCAAAUCUGGGGUGCCUGCUUCUGCUGCUGCCCGGCCUGUCUGCGCCCUGUGCUUGAUGCCUCGGUCAUCUCCCCUGCAGGCUGGCGCGGAGGUACCCAGCUGGAGGCCGUGGCAAGAGGCUAGGGCAAAGGUGGCCGUCACAGGCCUGGACGUGUUUGCACCUCUGAUGACAGCGGAUGGAGAUGGACGUGGUCACUGGAAAUCCCAGAUAACCUUCAACAGCCGAGAGGGCUCCCCCACCGCCUCCCUCCUGUCCCGGUCUGAUAUCUAGAGGGAGCUCCCAAGGUGGCUUCUGCUCGUUCUGGAUGCAGGGCUUGCCCGAAUCCAAGCGCUGGGGGCACCAGUCCAGCCACUAAAUAAAAAUCCUUCUAGUUUUGGUCUCCGAUGUCUCUGGCAGAGUCCUCAGCAAUAAUCCUGACAGCGGUGGCCCGUAGGCGGCAGCAUCUUGCAGGCUCCUGGGAAAAUGAGC
Molecule: RNA transcript, 2537 nt
Organism: Alligator mississippiensis (American alligator)
Lineage: Eukaryota; Metazoa; Chordata; Crocodylia; Alligatoridae
Gene name: zinc finger DHHC-type palmitoyltransferase 19
Exons: 5
Source: RefSeq, a predicted model, not a curated record